Long non-coding RNA from Chrysemys picta bellii (western painted turtle), 1149 nucleotides. The record is from Ensembl. Lineage: Eukaryota; Metazoa; Chordata; Testudines; Emydidae.
GAGGUCAGAAGUAGCCCUGGAGCCUGCGGGGUGGAGGUCAGAGGCCGCCCUGGAGCCUGCGGGGUGGAGGUCAGAAGCAGCCCCUGCAGUCCCAGCCUUGCGGAGCUGCCUGACCCGGGCCUGGUGCCGGGCGUGGGCUGCAGAAACUGCUUCAACCAGCUUCAAGAGACUUAAGUGGAACAAAGAACUUUGCAGCGAAUCAAAGGGCAACCCAGUGAAUGGAAGGAACAGGGAACUGGAACAGGGUCUGCUGGUGUGCAGGCGUGUGUUCUUAAAAGCACGUCAUCCCAAUGCCAAGACAAGACAUGAAGUAUUGAGCAGCGAAAGGAGACUUGAUCCAGUAAAAUAUUUUACAUCCCCCCACUGCCAAAAAUUGCAAUAGUCAUACAUGAUUUUAGUGUGAAAGAGAAUCCCGUAUCAAUGUAUCUGUCUGCAUAACACCUCUGAGCACUUCACAAAUUUGUCUUACCUGGUGUGCUGAUUGCCUGAGUCGGACUGGGGUUUUUGGUACUCCACUGUCCAUAGAGUUUCACUCCUUUAAAUUGGUUACUUUUUAAAAUGCUAUUUUGAUGACUCUUAGCACUUCAUCAUUUCCCUUCAUUAACACGGUGCAGAUGGAUGUCCGUGUGUUCAUUCAUUUCUAUUUUCAUAGCAAAUAAUCUUUGGAAAUAUUAUUAGUUGCUAGUAGCUUCAGCAGUCACCUCUCACAGUGUUUCUAGUGUAACACUUCCUGUUUGUAUGGCAGACGGCAGCUUGAGUUUUUAAUGCUAAAUUUUUGUUCUUUUUACCCAGUUUAUUCUUUGGGAUCAUGUGACUUCAAGGCUGACUGAUUUCUCUGAUGCUGGUUGUGUAGUGAACACUUCUCUGGGAUAGCUCAGUGGUUUGAGCAUUGGCCUCCUAAACCCAGGGUUGUGAGUUAAAUCCUUGAGGGGGCCGUUGGGGGCAAAAAUCUAGCUGGGGAUUGGUCCUGCUUUGAGCAGGAGGUUGGACUAAAUGACCUCCUGAGGUCCCUUCCAACUCUGAUAUUCUAUUAUUCUUUCCUGAGCAGACAUAUUUGCAUCUGAAUGACUGUGACCCCCCCGCCCCCCACCCUGUUCAUGUGGAUGUCAUGGAAAUAAAAAAAAAACAAAUUUUAAACUAAAGAAAUUA